RNAcentral lists this ribosomal RNA (878 nucleotides) under uncultured Chloroflexota bacterium. RNAcentral describes it as "bacterial SSU rRNA". It matches the Rfam family "Bacterial small subunit ribosomal RNA", at positions 48 to 921 of the family's 1533-position model. The record is from RNAcentral. Lineage: Bacteria; Bacillati; Chloroflexota.
GCUAUACAUGCAAGUCGAACGGGGAUUUCUUUGUAUUCGUACGAGGAAAAUCCUAUUGGCGAACGGGUGAGUAACGCGUUGGUGACCUGCCCCGAAGAGGGGGAUAACAGCUCGAAAGGGCUGCUAAUACCCCAUGUGAUCACAGAGGUUAGAGGCUCUGUGCUUAAAGGUACUGUCUUCGGACACUCCACUUCGGGAGGGGCCUGCGUCCCAUCAGCUAGUUGGUAGGGUAACGGCCUACCAAGGCUACGACGGGUAGGGGACCUGAGAGGGUGACCCCCCACACUGGCACUGAAACACGGGCCAGACAUCUACGGAUGGCAGCAGUAGGGAAUAUUGCACAAUGGGCGAAAGCCUGAUGCAGCAACGCCGCGUGCACGAUGAAGACCUUCGGGUUGUAAAGUGCUUUUCGGGGGGAUGAGAAAGGACAGUACCCCCGGAAUAAGGAUCGGCUAACUACGUGCCAGCAGCCGCGGUAACACGUGGGAUCCAAGCGUUAUCCGGAUUUACUGGGCGUAAAGCGCGUGCAGGCGGUUCGGUUAGUUGGAUGUGAAUGCUCCCGGCUCAACUGGGAGAGGCCGUUCAAUACUGCCGGACUAGAGGGCGAUAGAGGGAGGUGGAAUUCCCGGUGUAGUGGUGAAAUGCGUAGAUAUCGGGAGGAACACCAGAGGCGAAAGCGGCCUCCUGGAUCGACCCUGACGCUAAGACGCGAAAGCUAGGGUAGCGAACGGGAUUAGACACCCCGGUAGUCCUAGCUGUAAACGAUGUGAACUUGGUGUUGGUGGCGUAAGAACCAUCAGUGCCGUAGCUAACGCGAUAAGUUCACGCCUGGGGACUACGACCGCCAGGGUUAAAACUCAAAGGAAUUGACGGGACCC